ACUCCUUUAGUUUAUUUUAGAACAUAACACUUUCAAGGUUAAAGAUAUAAAGGAGAA
This 57-nucleotide transfer RNA is filed under the name Trouessartia rubecula. Its description in RNAcentral is "tRNA-Glu". The record is from RNAcentral. Lineage: Eukaryota; Metazoa; Arthropoda; Arachnida; Sarcoptiformes; Trouessartiidae.